Vidua chalybeata is the source of this 298-nucleotide long non-coding RNA. RefSeq lists it as uncharacterized. NCBI's taxonomy places the organism in Eukaryota, Metazoa, Chordata, Aves, Passeriformes, Viduidae. The record is from RefSeq and is a predicted model, not a curated record. The transcript has 3 exons.
GGAUACCUUCCAAAAGACCAGAUUGCUCCAAGCCUUGUCCAGCUCGGCCUUGGACACUUCCAGGGAUGGGGCAGCCACAGCUUCUCGGGGCAAACCAUGGAAAUUUUAUAACCUAUUUCAGCAUGGCUGUCACUUGUCAGCUCAUUUUUUUGAUGACCCGGCAGAUCACCAAGCUCAAUGAUCAGCACUCUUGAUGGACCAGCCCCAUCAGGUUCAUUCUCAUGGAGAAGAACAUAGAGAAGGUUGUCCUCAAAGCUGAAGUAAUUGGCUCCUGCCCCUGCAUUCAGUGAAAAAGAAG